AACGCUAGCUACAGGCUUAACACAUGCAAGUCGAGGGGCAGCAUAAAAGUAGCAAUACUUUGGUGGCGACCGGCGCACGGGUGAGUAACGCGUAUGCAACCUACCUAUCAGAGGGGGAUAACCCGGCGAAAGUCGGACUAAUACCGCAUAAAACAGGGGCACCGCAUGGUGAUAUUUGUUAAAAAUUUAUUGCUGAUAGAUGGGCAUGCGUUCCAUUAGGUAGUUGGAGAGGUAACGGCUCACCAAGCCCACGAUGGAUAGGGGAACUGAGAGGUUGGUCCCCCACACUGGUACUGAGACACGGACCAGACUCCUACGGGAGGCAGCAGUGAGGAGUAUUGGUCAAUGGGCGAGAGCCUGAACCAGCCAAGUCGCGUGAAGGAAGAAGGAUCUAUGGUUCGUAAACUUCUUUUGCAGGGGAAUAAAGUGCAGGACGUGUCCUGUUUUGUAUGUACCCUGAGAAUAAGGAUCGGCUAACUCCGUGCCAGCAGCCGCGGUAAUACGGAGGAUCCGAGCGUUAUCCGGAUUUAUUGGGUUUAAAGGGUGCGUAGGUGGUUUAAUAAGUCAGCGGUGAAAGUUUGCAGCUUAACUGUAAAAAUGCCGUUGAAACUGUUAGACUUGAGUGUAAAUGAGGUAGGCGGAAUGCGUGGUGUAGCGGUGAAAUGCUUAGAUAUCACGAAGAACUCCGAUUG
RNAcentral lists this ribosomal RNA (692 nucleotides) under uncultured bacterium. Its description in RNAcentral is "bacterial SSU rRNA". It matches the Rfam family "Bacterial small subunit ribosomal RNA", at positions 32 to 715 of the family's 1533-position model. The record is from RNAcentral.